CCUACGGGUGGCAGCAGUGAGGAAUAUUGGUCAAUGGGCGUAAGCCUGAACCAGCCAAGUCGCGUGAGGGAUGAAGGUUCUAUGGAUCGUAAACCUCUUUUAUAAGGGAAUAAAGUGCGGGACGUGUCCCGUUUUGUAUGUACCUUAUUAAUAAGGAUCGGCUAACUCCGUUCCAGCAGCCGCGGUAAUACGGAGGAUCCGAGCGUUAUCCGGAUUUAUUGGGUUUAAAGUGUGCGGAGGCGGCCUUUUAAGUCAGGCGGUAACGGCGGUGGCUAAACCCUAGAAUUUACGUUGAAACUGGAAGGCGUGAGAAUGUUUGAGGCAGGCGGAAGGGGUGGUGUAGCGGGGAAAUGCUUAGAUAUCACGCAGAACCCCGAUUGCGAAGGCAGCCUGCCAAGCCAUGACUGACGCUGAUGCACGAAAGCGUGGGGAUCAAACAGGAUUAGAUACCCUUGUAGUC
Molecule: ribosomal RNA, 460 nt
Filed under: uncultured bacterium
Lineage: Bacteria
Description: partial 16S ribosomal RNA
Rfam family: Bacterial small subunit ribosomal RNA
Source: RNAcentral